AAAACUGGCCUAUAUUUUGUUUAAUGUCUGGACUAAGACUUAUAGACAGGUACAAAAACUAAAUCCUCUUUUUCAACCCAAAACUCAUUGUCCAGUAUGAGUUUUGAUACAUUAUAAGAGAGGAUACU
Heterocephalus glaber (naked mole-rat) is the source of this 128-nucleotide small nucleolar RNA. NCBI's taxonomy places the organism in Eukaryota, Metazoa, Chordata, Mammalia, Rodentia, Bathyergidae. The record is from Ensembl.